CUCCUACGGGACGCAGCAGUGGGGAAUAUUGCACAAUGGGGGAAACCCUGAUGCAGCGACGCCGCGUGAGUGAAGAAGUAAUUCGGUAUGUAAAGCCCUAUCAGCAGGGAAGAAGAAAUGACGGUACCUGAGUAAGGAGCACCGGCUAAAUACGUGCCAGUAGCCGCGGUAAUACGUAUGGUGCAAGCGUUAUCCGGAUUUACUGGGUGUAAAGGGAGCGCAGGCGGCACGGCAAGCCUGGUGUGAAAGCCCGCGGCCCAACCGCGGGACUGCAUUGGGAACUACCGGGCUGGAGUGCCGGAGAG
This 305-nucleotide ribosomal RNA is filed under the name uncultured bacterium. Its description in RNAcentral is "bacterial SSU rRNA". It matches the Rfam family "Bacterial small subunit ribosomal RNA", at positions 336 to 656 of the family's 1533-position model. The record is from RNAcentral.